GACGAACGCUGGCGGCGUGCCUAAUACAUGCAAGUCGAGCGAGCUUGCCUAGAUGAUUUUAGUGCUUGCACUAAACGAAACUAGAUACAAGCGAGCGGCGGACGGGUGAGUAACACGUGGGGUAACCUGCCCAAGAGACUGGGAUAACACCUGGAAACAGAUGCUAAUACCGGAUAACAACACUAGACGCAUGUCUAGAGUUUGAAAGAUGGUUCUGCUAUCACUCUUGGGUGGACCUGCGGUGCAUUAGCUAGUUGGUAAGGUACGGCUUACCAAGGCAAUGAUGCAUAGCCGAGUUGAGAGACUGAUCGGCCACAUUGGGACUGAGACACGGCCCAAACUCCUACGGGAGGCAGCAGUAGGAUCUCACAAUGG
RNAcentral lists this ribosomal RNA (375 nucleotides) under uncultured Lactobacillus sp. RNAcentral's name for it is "bacterial SSU rRNA". It matches the Rfam family "Bacterial small subunit ribosomal RNA", at positions 28 to 374 of the family's 1533-position model. Lineage: Bacteria; Bacillati; Bacillota; Bacilli; Lactobacillales; Lactobacillaceae. The record is from RNAcentral.